Molecule: ribosomal RNA, 490 nt
Filed under: uncultured bacterium
Lineage: Bacteria
Description: partial 16S ribosomal RNA
Rfam family: Bacterial small subunit ribosomal RNA
Source: RNAcentral
GACGAACGCUGGCGGCGUGCUUAUCACAUGCAAGUCGAGCGGAAAGGCCCUUUCGGGGGUACUCGAGCGGCGAACGGGUGAGUAACACGUGAGUAAUCCGCCCUUGGCUUUGGGAUAACCACCGGAAACGGUGGCUAAUCCCGGAUACGACCACUCCCGGAAGCGGGGGGUGGUGGAAAGUUUUUUCGGCCAGGGGUGGGAUCGCGGCCUAUCAGCUUGUUGGUGGGGUAAGGGCCUACCCAGGCUUCGACGGGUAGCCGGCCUGAGAGGGUGACCGGCCACACUGGGACUGAGACACGGCCCAGACUCCUACGGGAGGCAGCAGUGGGGAAUAUUGGACAAUGGGCGGAAGCCUGAUCCAGCAACGCCGCGUGAGGGAUGACGGCCUUCGGGUUGUAAACCUCUUUCAGUACCGACGAAGCGCCGAUGACGGCGGUGACGGUAGGUACAGAAGAAGCACCGGCCAACUACGUGCCAGCCGCCGCCGUAA